AUUGAACGCUGGCGGCAGGCCUAACACAUGCAAGUCGAGCGAGCGGCGGACGGGUGAGUAAUGUAUGGGGACUGCCCGAUAGAGGGGGAUAACUACUGGAAACGGUAGCUAAUACCGCAUACUAUCGGAUAACCCAUAUGGGAUUAGCUAGUAGGUGAGGUAAUGGCUCACCUAGGCGACAAUCCCUAGCUGGUCUGAGUGGAUGAUCAGGCACACUGGGACUGAGACACGACCCAUGCUCCUACGGAGGCAGCGAUGGGGAAUAUUGCACAAUGGGCUCAAGCCGGAUGCAGCCAUGGCGCGUGUAUGAAGAAGGCCCAAGGGUUGUAAAGUACUUUCAGUCGGGAGGCGUUACCGACAGAAGAAGCACCAGCGAACUCCGUGCCAGCAGCCGCGGUAAUAC
Molecule: ribosomal RNA, 403 nt
Filed under: uncultured bacterium
Lineage: Bacteria
Description: partial 16S ribosomal RNA
Rfam family: Bacterial small subunit ribosomal RNA
Source: RNAcentral